RNAcentral lists this ribosomal RNA (549 nucleotides) under uncultured fungus. RNAcentral describes it as "eukaryotic LSU rRNA". The stretch from base 198 to 351 matches the Rfam family "5.8S ribosomal RNA". The record is from RNAcentral. Lineage: Eukaryota; Fungi.
UCGUACAAGGUCUCCGUAGGUGAACCUGCGGAGGGAUCAUUACAAGAACGCCCGGGCUUCGGCCUGGUUAUUCAUAACCCUUUGUUGUCCGACUCUGUUGCCUCCGGGGCGACCCUGCCUUCGGGCGGGGGCUCCGGGUGGACACUUCAAACUCUUGCGUAACUUUGCAGUCUGAGUAAACUUAAUUAAUAAAUUAAAACUUUUAACAACGGAUCUCUUGGUUCUGGCAUCGAUGAAGAACGCAGCGAAAUGCGAUAAGUAAUGUGAAUUGCAGAAUUCAGUGAAUCAUCGAAUCUUUGAACGCACAUUGCGCCCCCUGGUAUUCCGGGGGGCAUGCCUGUUCGAGCGUCAUUUCACCACUCAAGCCUCGCUUGGUAUUGGGCAACGCGGUCCGCCGCGUGCCUCAAAUCGUCCGGCUGGGUCUUCUGUCCCCUAAGCGUUGUGGAAACUAUUCGCUAAAGGGUGUUCGGGAGGCUACGCCGUAAAACAACCCCAUUUCUAAGGUUGACCUCGGAUCAGGUAGGGAUACCCGCUGAACUUAAGCAUAUC